UACGUAGGGGGCGAGCGUUGUCCGGAAUCAUUGGGCGUAAAGAGCUCGUAGGCGGUUCAGUAAGUCAGGUGUGAAAGCUCCGAGCUCAACUCGGAGAGGCCACCUGAUACUGCUGUGACUAGAAUCCAGUAGGGGAGUGUGGAACUCCUGGUGUAGCGGUGAAAUGCGCAGAUAUCAGGAAGAACACCAGCGGCGAAGGCGGCACUCUGGGCUGGAAUUGACGCUGAGGAAGCGAAAGUGUGGGUAGCGAAACAGG
RNAcentral lists this ribosomal RNA (256 nucleotides) under uncultured bacterium. RNAcentral describes it as "partial 16S ribosomal RNA". It matches the Rfam family "Bacterial small subunit ribosomal RNA", at positions 524 to 776 of the family's 1533-position model. The record is from RNAcentral.